RNAcentral lists this ribosomal RNA (687 nucleotides) under uncultured Pasteurellales bacterium. RNAcentral describes it as "bacterial SSU rRNA". It matches the Rfam family "Bacterial small subunit ribosomal RNA", at positions 63 to 739 of the family's 1533-position model. Lineage: Bacteria; Pseudomonadati; Pseudomonadota; Gammaproteobacteria; Pasteurellales. The record is from RNAcentral.
CGAACGGUAACAGGGAUUAGCUUGCUAAUUUGCUGACGAGUGGCGGACGGGUGAGUAAUGCUUGGGAAUCUAGCUUAUGGAGGGGGAUAACUACGGGAAACUGUAGCUAAUACCGCGUAAAAUCUUCGGAUUAAAGGGUGGGACUUUCGGGCCACCUGCCAUAAGAUGAGCCCAAGUGGGAUUAGGUAGUUGGUUAGGUAAAGGCUGACCAAGCCGACGAUCUCUAGCUGGUCUGAGAGGAUGACCAGCCACACUGGAACUGAGACACGGUCCAGACUCCUACGGGAGGCAGCAGUGGGGAAUAUUGCACAAUGGGGGGAACCCUGAUGCAGCCAUGCCGCGUGAAUGAAGAAGGCCUUCGGGUUGUAAAGUUCUUUCGGUGACGAGGAAGGUUGAUAGGUUAAUAGCCUAUCAAAUUGACGUUAAUCACAGAAGAAGCACCGGCUAACUCCGUGCCAGCAGCCGCGGUAAUACGGGGGGUGCGAGCGUUAAUCGGAAUAACUGGGCGUAAAGGGCACGCAGGCGGUGACUUAAGUGAGAUGUGAAAGCCCCGGGCUUAACCUGGGAAUUGCAUUUCAUACUGGGUCGCUAGAGUACUUUAGGGAGGGGUAGAAUUCCACGUGUAGCGGUGAAAUGCGUAGAGAUGUGGAGGAAUACCGAAGGCGAAGGCAGCCCCUUGGGAAUGUA